CUGAACUCUUGAUGUCUUGCUUUUGAAAAAAUACCAGGUCCUGGGACCACAACAUGGAGGGACACAGAGCCUUGUCUUUCAGAGCUUGCGGAUCAUCAGGGAAGACAUGACACCAACUGUAUGAUCCCUGUGAUGGCAGAAGCUCAGGUUUCUGGCUUUAAAAAAAAAAAAAGGUUUCCUGGAGAAGGUGGAGAAGAGACUGCAGAAUGAGAGCCAGGACAGCAUGCAGUGUGGACAAUCACGAUAUACAACUAUAAGCUCUGGUUUGAGUAUUUGGAGGAAAGUGGACAUCUCAAAAGGAAGGAAGAUUGACUAGGCUGGCAUCUAAUGAAAGGGCCAGGUGGCAAGCUCCUGACAUGCAACUCUUUCCUUCUGGAAUUCUUUGGUCCCAAGCCACAGCGGAUGACCCACCAAGAGACCUGUACCUGUCAGAUUGCAGGCACUAUUGUGGAUGAGCCCAUCUUUCCAGAUUGGCUGCAGCCGGGAGUGCUGCUCAGAGAGGAAUGGACAGCGGCUGCCCAGAACAGAUGCUACAUUGGAAAGCAGCCUCUCUUAUUGCCUAAAGUUGCCAGAGCUCCACUGGGCACCAGAGUUGAGCCACAGCAAACACAAGCUAGGGGCUGUGAACCCCUUAUAGGUAACCAGAUGUGCAGGGAAUGGCAGAUCAAAGGCUGCUCUCCAGAUGUCCCCUGCUGAGGGUGAGCAGCUGGUGCAGAAGUGUCCCCUUUGGCAACUUCUGGGACUCUGUGCCACUGCUGGCUCAGGAGGUGGCUGGCAGGAAAGGCUCCAGAAGAGACAUUAAAGGGAAAUUUGGGCCUCAGUGUGAUGCUAAGCUGACAGCUCUAUGAACUACCUAACAUUUUAUCAAUGCUGUUUGUAAUAUGACGGAAGAUGAUGGUUAUUCUACUAUGAUGCACCUCAGCAUAUGUCCCCCAUGUGUGGCUUCUGGCCAGUGCCAGGACAGGAGUCAGUUUGUUACCAUAGCUUCCCAACCAGGAUGUAAAAUCUCCCAUACCCCAUAUCCUCCACUCCUAUUUGGAACGGGAAUGUGGGCUUUGGCUUUGCUCCAGUUUCUUGAUCCUUCCUUCCAAGUUCUCACCCUCUAACACAACUUGAAACUCAAAAUUAGUGGGCAGCAGAACUGGGCUGCUGAAUCCAAAGACAGUUAAAAGUGUGUUUGAGUGUGUGUGUGUGUGUUUGUAUCUAUGAAGAUGUGUGUACUAGAUUCAUCUAUAUAUAAUUAAUGUAUUAACAAUACAAAUAGUCUCAUGGACAUGUACAUAUGCAACAUGCGUUCCUGCUAUUGUUCUUUUAGUCCCCAUCUAACUUCUCCCUUCUCUAUUCCCCCUGCUUCCAUCUCCCUUAUCCCCUUCUCCCUGUCUGAAUGGUGUCUGGUAUAAGUGGAGGAGGCCAAAAGGAAUGACAGAGGUCUUGAAGCUGCCCAAGGUGACAGUUACUUGGAGCAGAUAGCAUCUGUACAUUAUGAAGUAGAGUGUUGCCAUCCUCAUCAUUACCAUCACCUAGACCCAUGUCUCCCCAGUGCCACUUGGAAGGAUGCAGGAGGCUUGCUAUCUCCAUGGUGAUAAGGAAGCCUUCAGGAAGCUGGUCUGCCUUCUCUUUCUGAACUCUCUCUAACUGAAUUAUCUUAUGUCAUUAUAAUGCUUUCCUAACAAUAAACUUG
Long non-coding RNA from Mus spicilegus (steppe mouse), 1681 nucleotides. NCBI's taxonomy places the organism in Eukaryota, Metazoa, Chordata, Mammalia, Rodentia, Muridae. The record is from Ensembl.